UACGUAGGGGGCAAGCGUUGUCCGGAAUCAUUGGGCGUAAAGAGCGUGUAGGCGGCUUGGUAAGUCCGCGGUGAAAGUCCAGGGCUCAACCCUGGAAUGCCGGUGGAAACUGUCAAGCUUGAGUCCGGAAGAGGCGAGUGGAAUUCCUGGUGUAGCGGUGAAAUGCGCAGAUAUCAGGAGGAACACCAAUGGCGAAGGCAGCUCGCUGGGACGGUACUGACGCUGAGACGCGAAAGCGUGGGGAGCAAACAGG
RNAcentral lists this ribosomal RNA (253 nucleotides) under uncultured bacterium. Its description in RNAcentral is "partial 16S ribosomal RNA". It matches the Rfam family "Bacterial small subunit ribosomal RNA", at positions 524 to 776 of the family's 1533-position model. The record is from RNAcentral.